Molecule: ribosomal RNA, 180 nt
Filed under: uncultured Glomeromycotina
Lineage: Eukaryota; Fungi; Glomeromycota
Description: partial small subunit ribosomal RNA
Rfam family: Eukaryotic small subunit ribosomal RNA (bases 46-180)
Source: RNAcentral
GGGUUCUACCGUUGGUCGGGCUAUAGUCUGUACUGGCGUGUGGAAUUUCUACCUUCUGGGGAACUAUCAUGUUAUUAAUUUAGCGUGGUAGGAAACCAGAACCUUUACCUUGAAAAAAUUAGAGUGUUUAAAGCAGGCAAUUUUUGCUUGAAUACAUUAGCAUGGAAUAAUAGAAUAGGA